UACGGAGGGGGCUAGCGUUGUUCGGAAUUACUGGGCGUAAAGCGCACGUAGGCGGCUUUGUAAGUUAGAGGUGAAAGCCCGGGGCUCAACCUCCGGAAUUGCCUUUAAGACUGCCAUCGCUAGAAUUGUGGAGAGGUAAGUGGAAUUCCGAGUGUAGAGGUGAAAUUCGUAGAUAUUCGGAAGAACACCAGUGGGCGAAGGCGACUUACUGGACACAUAUUGACGCUGAGGUGCGAAAGCGUGGGGGAGCAAACAGG
Molecule: ribosomal RNA, 257 nt
Filed under: uncultured bacterium
Lineage: Bacteria
Description: partial 16S ribosomal RNA
Rfam family: Bacterial small subunit ribosomal RNA
Source: RNAcentral